This 445-nucleotide ribosomal RNA is filed under the name uncultured Neisseriaceae bacterium. Its description in RNAcentral is "bacterial SSU rRNA". It matches the Rfam family "Bacterial small subunit ribosomal RNA", at positions 30 to 471 of the family's 1533-position model. Lineage: Bacteria; Pseudomonadati; Pseudomonadota; Betaproteobacteria; Neisseriales; Neisseriaceae. The record is from RNAcentral.
AUUGAACGCUGGCGGCAUGCUUUACACAUGCAAGUCGGACGGCAGCGGGGGUGCUUGCACCUGCCGGCGAGUGGCGAACGGGUGAGUAACAUAUUGGAAUGUACCGAGUAGUGGGGGAUAACCAAUCGAAAGAUUGGCUAAUACCGCAUACGUCCUGAGGGGGAAAGCAGGGGAUCUUCGGACCUUGCGCUAUUUGAGCAGCCAAUAUCUGAUUAGCUAGUUGGUGGGGUAAAGGCCCACCAAGGCGACGAUCAGUAGCGGGUCUGAGAGGAUGAUCCGCCACACUGGGACUGAGACACGGCCCAGACUCCUACGGGAGGCAGCAGUGGGGAAUUUUGGACAAUGGGGGCAACCCUGAUCCACCCCUGCCGCCUGUCUGAAGAAGGGCUUCGGGUUUUCAAAGGAUUUUUGUUAUUGAAGAAAAAGGAAGAGCGUAUACCUCUUG